UAGGGAAUCUUCCACAAUGGGCGAAAGCCUGAUGGAGCAACGCCGCGUGUGUGAUGAAGGCUUUCGGGUCGUAAGGCACUGUUGUAUGGGAAGAACAGCUAGAAUAGGAAAUGAUUUUAGUUUGACGGUACCAUACCAGAAAGGGACGGCUAAAUACGUGUCAG
Molecule: ribosomal RNA, 164 nt
Filed under: uncultured bacterium
Lineage: Bacteria
Description: partial 16S ribosomal RNA
Rfam family: Bacterial small subunit ribosomal RNA
Source: RNAcentral